Molecule: long non-coding RNA, 3037 nt
Organism: Antechinus flavipes (yellow-footed antechinus)
Lineage: Eukaryota; Metazoa; Chordata; Mammalia; Dasyuromorphia; Dasyuridae
Exons: 3
Source: RefSeq, a predicted model, not a curated record
UGGAUUUCUCAGACUACAUCUGUGUUCUGGAGUGAAUACAGUGAGACUGACUUUUCUUGUUUUUCCAGUCUAAUUUGAAUUGGAGAGGGAUUUCAUCAGAAGCUGGCUUUCAUGUGGUUUUUAAAGAAAACUGGAAGAGCUCAAAGAGAUUCCUGGCUUCACUGCACCAUUUUAGCUCUUGCCUGGAAGUCUCCCAAAAUAAAUAAAUAAAUAAAUAGCAGAGAAAAACUGCAGACAGAAAUUAGUUCAUGCUUUUCUCACAUAACUUCUGCUACUCUUGAUCCUGAAUGAAGCCAGACAUCAAAACUAGACCUUGAGCAUACCAAUUCAAUAAGAAUAUGAGGAGUAACUUCUUUUAAUAACAUAGAUAUGUUUUCUGAAAAGCACAAAAAUACAAUUCAUUGCAAUUAAUCUUGUCUUGUAUCAGAAAUGUUGGCUCUAACAAUAAGAAAAAAAAAAGAAAUAGAAUGAAUAAGAGAAGACAAUAAGGAAGGAAAAUGACCACUCUUUACAGAUGAUACCAUAGUAUAUUUAGAGAAUCAACUAAAAACUGCUUGAAAUAAUUUACAACCUUGGCCAACUGGAAGGAUAUAAAAUAAACCCAAAUAAAUCAUCAUCAUUUCUACAUGUUGCCAAAAAAUCCCAGCAGCAAGAGAUAGAGAAAUUGCAUUUAAAAUUAAAUUUAAACAAAAUAAAAUUCUUGAGUAUCUACCUGUGCAAAGAAACCCAGAAACAGUAUAAGCACAAUUACCAAACUCCUUUUAAAUAAAGUCAGAUCUAAACCACUGGGAAAAUUUCAGUAUUUCUUGGACAGGACAAGUCAAUAUAAUAAAAAUGACCAAUUUAAUACUUAUGGACCUAUGAAUCAAGUUGUCUAAAACUUAAUGUAUAGGGCUAGAAAAAAAUAAAAAUAAAAUUGAUCCAGAAAUAAAAAAUAUCAUUUGAAUUAAUGGGAAAAAAUACAAAGGAUGGAGGGCUACCAUUAGCAGACCUCAAAGUGGCAGUCAUCAAAACCACCUGGUACUGGUUGAGAAAUAGAAUGGCAGAACAAGAGAAAAGGUUAGGUACAAAAGACAUAAUACUCAGUGACUAUAGUAAUCCAUUGUUUGAUAAAACCCAAAGACUCUAACUUUCUGGGAUAAGAACUUUUUGUCAAAAAUUGUUGAGAACAUUGGAAAAGAGUAUGUCAAAAAAAAAAAAAAAACUCAACGAAGACCUACAUCUCAAAUCCUAUACCAAAAAUGUUAUAUAAAUCAAAAUAAGUACAUGAGUGAAGUAUAAAGGGUGAUAGUAAUAAUAUAAGCAAAUUAAGAAAGCAAAUGAUAAUUUACUGAUCUUAUCUUUGGAGAAGGGGAAACUUAUGACUAAACAAGUCUUAAAACAACAUUAUGAAAUGCAAAAUGGAUUAUUUUUUUUACAUUACAUUAAAAACAUAUUUAUACAAAUGGAACCAAUGCAGCCCAGAUUAUAAAGAAUGCAGAAACAUGGACAAUAUUUUUUAAAUUUUUUAAAAUUGUUAUUAUUAUAGUUUUUUAUUUACAAAACAUAUGCAUGGGUAAUUUUUCAACAUUGACCCUUGCACAAUCUUCUGUUCUAACUUUUCCCUUCUUUCUUCCCACCCCAUCUCCCAGAUAGCAGGUAGUCCAAUACAUGUUAGAUAUGUUAAAGUAUAUGCUAAAUCCAACACACACACACACACACAUAUACAUAUACAUAAUAUAUAUUUAUACAGUUACCUUGCUGCACAAAAAAAAUUGGAUCUAGAAAGAAAGAAAAACAAACCUGAGAAGGAAAGCAAAAAUGUAGCAAACAAUGAGAGAAAGAGAGGAAAAUGCUAUGUUGUGGUCCACACUCAUUUCCCAUAAUUCUCUCUCUGGGUGUAGCUGACUCUUCAUUAUUGAACAAUUGGAACUGGUUUGAAUCAUCUCAUUGUUGAAGAGAGCCACAUCCAUCAGAAUUGAUCAUUGUAUAAUUCUGUUGUUACCAUGUAUAAUGAUCUCCUGUCUCUGCUCAUUUCACUUAGCAUCAAUUCAGGGGGAAGUGGGGGAGGAGCCAAGAUGGUGGUAAAUGCACACGUGACUUUCUGAGCCUCUCUCAUACCCUCAAUACCAAUUAUUAAAGUCAGCCUCAAAAAUAGCACUUGACUGGUAAAAUUCACAAAGAUUGGAAGUGCAAUAACUCACCAGCCGAAGAUAAUUUGGAAGAUCGCCAGAAAAGUCUGCUGCUACCACCACAACUGACCACUUCAAGAAACAACCAUAGUCCAGGACCUCAUGACAUUCUGAAAUUUACAACAUCACCUGGGCUUAUCCAUCCUGAGGUUUUGACUCAGUGACCUAGCGACUUUGGAAAAAGAUAAAUUUUCCACCAUUCCCUUACUCUACUUCCCCAUAAAGCUUUUUGAAGAGUCCUUAGGAUCGGAAGCCAUAAAGCAAAAGAACAUUUGGGGAGAGGGGCAGGGCUUUGAGCCCUCCCCCCGAUUUGUUCUUCAGCCAGUACUGUAGGUAUACAGAUAACUCUUAAUUAGUAUAAAUGAUUUCUCUAAAGUUGUCCCACAUAUUGACAUAAUUUUUAUACUUAUGUAAAACAUGGUCAUUGGUUCUAGCCCAGUUCCACCAUAUAGUGCAAAUCCAAUGAUGUAUGUAAUCUAUUUGCAAGAUUCAGUAUUUGCAUUAAUUGUAACCAUACUAAGUUCUAGCUUGAGAAGCAAUGGGAAAAUUUAACAUAUGCAGAUGCAAUCAGAUACAGACAUAAUAUCUUCUCAAAAACAGCUGGAGAAAAAGGCACUCAAUACCAAUAUGUCCCACAUGUAGGAAAACCAAGGAAAAAACUUCAAAAGAAUAGCUUUACUAAAUUUGAACUGGGUUCAAAUCUAGCCCCUUUCAUUUAAUAGCUGUGUCCCUUGCCAUGAAAGAGAGACAACUGUAUUUAAAGUGCCUAUUUCUUGUAAAUUUGCAGUAAAAAUAGAAUUAACAUAUGUAAAGUGUUAUAUGAACCAUAAGAUACUGGGUAUGUGGGAGUUAAUUAUAACAAUAAU